UGGCAUGUUUAAUCAAUGUUAUGUCCUUUUAUUAUACAGUGUGUAGAAUAAUCAAAGCAGUUUGCCGCCGAUUAUGCAACUUAAUCCCAAUUCCUAUCAUCCGUAACCUAUGUCUUUCCAUCUGCAAUUUUGUAAGUACAUAUUUGACGCUUGUAACUCAUUUUCUACGAAGAAUAAAAUAUGAAAGUUUACGUCCAUAUAAAUAUUUAAAAGUAAAUCCAGUACGCUAUCUUAAUUUUUAAAUAGGUAUAAUUUCUGCAUUCAUCAUUCCACUAUAGACUUACUAGGCUUUGACGUCAGUAGCCUGUAGCAAACUAAAUUUCUAAAGGGAGCAGGACAACGUGACGGCGACCGCUGUUAAAACAAUGAAAUUCAGUUUCUUGUUUCAGUCGUUCCGGACCAUCUCAACAUUGUUUUGUCUUUAGGUUGACAAAUUUCCAAAUAGAGCCGCCUGUACAACCGCCUGCAAGAGGAUACCUUUUGCACGCGUGCAAAGGAUAUGCAUUAGAGCGUGCAAAAUUGUAAGUAAAGAGGGUUGUACAGUAUAUCAACCAUGCAGGGACUCUGUCUGGCACAGUUUGCGUGAAGGUCGGAAAGAAGAGAACCAGUGUGAUACGUUCAACAUCAGAGAAAAAUUUCAUACUUCCAUAUAAUUCUGUUUAUAAUCUCUAACGGUCCAGUUGUGUCAGUGUAUUCCCAACGAAUGGCCUUCACUUGAAACAGAUUUAUAACUGAUUAACGUUCUCAAAUAUCGUAUCUUUAUUGUGGGAUGCAGGCAAAUGUUACAAUACUGGUUUCAAAAUUCGAAUUCCUGGAGUGGGGUUCUUCUAGGGAAAUCCGUUUGUCCGCAUUUCUCGUGUUCCAUUCUCUCGUGAAGUCUUUAUAUUUUGAUUAACGCUUGAAAAACUUGUUCCGAUGGCCAAAAUGCAAAAUUUAGAGGAAUCAACUUUUCUUUAACAUUCAAUUUACACUAACAUAGAAAGAUUAAAUCAUAACCCAUUUCUUUCUCUUUCUCUAGUGCCUCCGUAACCGUUGAUUGUUACUCCAAAACCAAUUUUCCUUUUUUUUUAUCUCAAAUGUAUUUUUAAUUAACUAGUUUUGAAUUAAGAAAUGAAAUAUUUUCUUAAUAGCAAUUUGUGUAUGUACAAUUACAUCAUCUCUUGAGAUUUGUAUAUAGUCAUUCAUUUUAUGGAAAUAAAAAUUCA
Molecule: long non-coding RNA, 1205 nt
Filed under: Paramuricea clavata
Lineage: Eukaryota; Metazoa; Cnidaria; Anthozoa; Malacalcyonacea; Plexauridae
Source: RNAcentral